CCUUAGUCCCUUAGCCCGGAUAGAGCAGCCUUGAACCGGUGGGAGGGCGGAAGUGGUGGAGUGGACCGCAGCCGAGGCCAGGGGCUUCACGGAACUUCUGGGGUCCUCAGUUUCCCCAUAGGUCGAUUUGGGCUAAGACCUUCCCCCACAGGAAGGGUUGCUGAGGGAAUGGGGCUACAGGACAGCAAUCGCACAUCCUGCAGACCUGUAGUCAGAUCAGGCACAGAGAAAGGAAACAACUUUCAAAGAUCACUCAGCAAGCUGGCCAUCGAGCUGAUGGAGGCCUCCUAUGCUUAUCCACCAAGCCGGGUUGCCUAUUGGUGUGUCCAAGCAGAGGUCCUCAGGGAGACUGAGGCAACUCGGGGUGCAUUCCAGCUUGGAGUGAAGCAGAGCACGGAGACCAGAUCUUCUACCUCAUCUGGCCCUCAUCUUCCCUAAUAACCAGGGGAAGUGUGUUUCCUUUUAUGACUGAGUAUGGUGAUCAGCAGGAAGGCCUGGGACAGCUUCCCCUGUAUCCUGGCCUCGCAUAAUACCAUAUGUCAAGAACUGUAUACAGGCAAAGUAAUCAAUGACAAGAAUAGCCCAAGGAGAGAGCUGUCGGGAGCAAUGCUACAUAAUUUUAGGGACAAGAAGCAUCCUGGGAGCUGAGAACAUCCUGGGAGGAACAAACAUCUCAGUUCCUCAUUGUUCUUGGAUUGUUACCAUCUUGUUUACUGGGAUGUACUGAACUCCCUGCAAGUCAUUUGUUACAUUUGUUUCUCCCGAUGGACUGAAUAAAAG
Long non-coding RNA from Heterocephalus glaber (naked mole-rat), 780 nucleotides. The record is from Ensembl. Lineage: Eukaryota; Metazoa; Chordata; Mammalia; Rodentia; Bathyergidae.